This 253-nucleotide ribosomal RNA is filed under the name uncultured bacterium. RNAcentral's name for it is "partial 16S ribosomal RNA". It matches the Rfam family "Bacterial small subunit ribosomal RNA", at positions 524 to 776 of the family's 1533-position model. The record is from RNAcentral.
UACGAGAGGCCCAACCGUUAUUCGGAUUUACUGGGCUUAAAGAGUUUGUAGGCGGUUCGGUAAGUGAGAUGUGAAAGCCCUCGGCUCAACCGAGGAAUUGCGUUUCAAACUGCCGGGCUCGAGGGAGAUAGAGGUGAGCGGAACUGAUGGUGGAGCGGUGAAAUGCGUUGAUAUCAUCAGGAACACCAGAGGCGAAGGCGGCUCACUGGGUCUCUUCUGACGCUGAGAAACGAAAGCUAGGGGAGCAAACGGG